AAAACUCAAAUUUGUAUGGAGUUGGAACGCCUAGAUUUGCCACUAGGGGCGCUGUUCCAACUGCAUUUAUAUUUGAGUUA
RNAcentral lists this microRNA precursor (80 nucleotides) under Bombyx mori (domestic silkworm). RNAcentral's name for it is "mir-2807 microRNA precursor family". It matches the Rfam family "mir-2807 microRNA precursor family". The record is from Rfam by way of RNAcentral. Lineage: Eukaryota; Metazoa; Arthropoda; Insecta; Lepidoptera; Bombycidae.